UACGGCGGCCAUAGCGGAGGGAAACGCCCGGUCCCAUUCCGAACCCGGAGCUAAGCCCUCCGCGCCGAUGUACUGCACUCGACAGGUGUGUAGAGUAGGACACCCGCGAAC
RNAcentral lists this ribosomal RNA (111 nucleotides) under Rhodococcus (subgen. Prescottella) equi. Lineage: Bacteria; Bacillati; Actinomycetota; Actinomycetes; Mycobacteriales; Nocardiaceae. The record is from RNAcentral.